Molecule: long non-coding RNA, 4586 nt
Organism: Bos taurus (domestic cattle)
Lineage: Eukaryota; Metazoa; Chordata; Mammalia; Artiodactyla; Bovidae
Source: Ensembl
UAUUGUUUUAAUUUUAAACAUGUCUCAACUUUGUCACAUUGUAAUAUGUGACAUGUGAGAACCUCACAUGUAACCAUAUCUCCUCUGGUCUGAUUCAUACCCUUUAGGAAAAUUAGUUCUUGCUCAGUUCUACAUUUGAAGUUCUCUAAGUGGAAGGACUUUUAAACUCCUUCCCUUUCUUAUGAAAUUAAAUAUCUAAUUUGUUGUUGAGUCACUAAGUCUUGUCCAACUCUUUGCAACCCCAUGGACUGCAACACAUCAGGCUUUCCUGUCUUUUAAUGUCUCUCAGAGUUUGCUCAAAUUCAUGUCCAUUGAGUUGGUGAUGCUGUUUAACCAUCUAUCUCAUUCUCUUGCCCCCUUCUCCUCCUGCCCUCAGUCUUCUUACCCAGCAUCAGGGUCUUUUCCAAUGAGUCGGCUCUUUGCAUCAGGUGGCCAGAGUAUUGGAACUUCAGCAUCAGUCCUUCCAAUGAAUAUUCAGGGUUGAUUUCCUUUAGGAUUGACUGGUUUGAUCAUCCUUCCAGUCCAAGGGACUCUCAAGAGUCUUCUCCAACACCACAGUUCAAAAGCAUCAAUUCUUCAGUGCUCAGUUUUCUUUAUAGUCCAACUCUCACAUCCAUACAUGACUGCUGGAAAAACCAUAGCCUUGACUGUAUGGACCUUUGUCAGCAAAGUUAUGUCUUCACUUUUUAAUACACUGUCUAGGUUUGCCAUAGCUUUCCUUCCAAGGAAAAAGUAUCUUUUAAUUUCUAAUAACAUUUAAUAUCUAAUAACAUUGCUUAAUUAGCUAGUGAGACAUAUCCAUUGCCUUUUCUUUUUCCUGUUGAGAUAAAAAAUAAUCUAAAAUUGCUACUCAACUGAAAUUUGGGCUGAUUUUGAUAUUGGUGUCCCCAAGGCCCAACAGAAUUGUUGCAAAUUCUUAAAUCACUGUGAUUUGAAUUAGAGAGGAUGCAAGGGAUGAAAGCCCUCAGAGUCUGGGUACACACUGCAUAAGAUAAAGUGGGGAAGACUUAGCUACUUCUGUGACCCAAGUAAAUGGCCACUUCAAAUAAUUCAGACCCCAAGUGGCUAUAGGUUCAUCUUUCUGGUUGGUGAAUUAUAUUUAUUAUAACUUCAUUUUUAGCAUUUCAGUAGUUUUUAAGGACUUUAUUUGUAUUCCUCUCACUCAUCAGUUACAAGGUGUACCUUAGAACCUUGAAGUACACUUUUUCAGGUUACACAGAGGAACUUGGUUCAAAGAUGACUGUACAAAUAGUUUGCUUCAUCACGUUUCCUGUUUAAUUGGAUGAGAAUCACACAUGCACUUAUUCCCUUGUUCUUCGUGUUUAUAGGAAAAACUGUUCUCAGCUGCCUCAUUAUGUAGUGCUGUGCUUGAUCCCCUGCCAAUUGAGAAGAAUUCAACACAUUCUGUCCUUUAACAAAAGCCUGGAAGCAAGCAGUAAGCGGCCUUGAGGAAUACAAUUCUCUAAGGCGUAGUUUCCAUUUUACUUUUAAUCAGGAGGAACAAUAAUUCUCCUAGAGCUGCUGCAUAGUGAUUACUUGAAACUCGACUUGAACUUUAAAGAAUCUUUACAAGGCUGUAUUUUCGUAGCGUAGAAAAGUAGUAUGUUUAAACACCACUGCUAUGUAAAAUAGUAGGCUUCAUUGCCAUGGUCAUUCACAGCAGAUAGGAAAACAUGUCUGUAAUUUGACCCAAUGUUUGGGAUUCAGAUGCUUGGGGUUAACUGUUCUUCAUAUUCGAUAAGGUGCUAGUGGGAGCAGUUUAAGGAUCUAAUAGGUGUAUUUUCAUGAGUUUGUUUCCCAAGAAUCUUACCUUUGCUGAAAGUAUAGGGCUCAUGAAGUUCCUCUGUUCUGAUAACCUGGGGUUUUACAGUGAAACUCUCAAAGUGUGGAGUUGAGUUGAGCAAACAGCACAGAACUGCAUUAUACUUAAAAUCACAAGUGAUCGGAUUUGUCUGGUGUGUCAGUGGAAUGUCCCCAACUUCCUCCUGGACAGGGUACACCUGGGCGCUGUCCUCCCCAGCAGCUCCCAGGUCCUUCAGUUUUUGUAAACAGACCUUCCCUUCCGGGGGUGAUUUCUUAUUAGGAAUUACUUAGGACCCCUGAUGGCCAAAAAGAGUUAUGCCCAUUCCUAAAAACCUGGCAUACUAGGAAUAACUUACAUACCAGGUAAAAUCUAAAACCUUCACUGUCCCUGUGCAUUAAUAAGAUUUAAUGGUUAGGCUUGUGCUUUUCAUACUAAAGGGCUUGCUCCCCUCAUCAGGAUUCUGGCAAAGUUCUCAGGUGGAUCUAGCCGUGGGCCGUGCCCACUUUUUGGUUUCCAAGAGAGCCGGGGUUCACCCCCGGAAAGCCCCAGGCUUCCUUGGUCGUAAUGAUUUUGAGGAAAUUGUAAACAUUCUCUGUACUGGCCAGGCGAACCCAGUGGUUGUGAGCAUGCGUGGGCGUUGGGGGCCCAGUGCAUGCUGGGUGUAAAGAUGGCUCCCACUGCCGCGUGCCCCUCGAAGCCCACCACCCCAGAAGCAAAGGAUGGGUGUUCACCUGCCCGGGUUCCUGUGGAGAGCCAGCAGAGUAAGGAAGGUGAGAGCUAGGCGCCUCGAGCACAAAUUGGGGGUGAUUGGGACCUCGGCUGCAGUUGCCGCCCGUCUCAGCCACAGUCUUCGCCCCUUGCUCAGUAUCCUGGCCUCAGAGCUUUCUUCAUGCUCGCAUCUGCCGCCACAUGAUGCACAAGCAAAUACACGUUCCCUUUUACAAGAUGCAUAUUUUUUGGAUCCGUGAUACCACUCUCCCGCUUCUCUAAAACCUGGAAUUCAGGGUAAUUCUAGACAGUGGAAACACCCCAAGAUAUGUGUUUAGGAUAUUUAGAGUGGUUACAAAUAUCCUUUGUUUCAGGGUUUGCCUGAUGAAGUACUCUGCUGCUGCUGCUAAGUCGCUUCAGUCGUGUCCGACUCUGCGACCCCAUAGGCGGCAGCCCACCAGGCUCCCCAGCCCCUGGGAUUCUCCAGGCAAGAACACUGGAGUGGGUUGCCAUUUCCUUCUCCAAUGCAUGAAAGUCAAAAGUGAAAGUGAAGUCGCUCAGUCGUGUCCGACCCUUAGAGACCCAUGAACUGCAGCCUACCAGGCUCCUCCGUCCAUGGGAUUUUCCAGGGGCUGGUAGUCGGACGAGGAAGUCUGUUUUGUCCACCCGCUGCACUGAUGGGCCCUGGGAACCAGCAUCCAGGAGGAUGACAGCCAGGCUGGCGGGCGCUCUGGAAGCUCUGACAAGAAGCUCUGGAGGCCCCAGGCUCUGGCCUUGCUGGGCUUUAGAAGAAGCAGGUGUGCGUGUCCCAGACCACUGCCUCCUGGCUCAGGCCAGGAAGCAGAAACUAUAGAGGUAGAAUGUUUCUGUCACUCGUAGAACUUUCUAGAGUUGCCUCAUGAUAAACGGGGUGCCUCCUGUGGUUUUGAGCGCUCGGCUCUGAGGAUCACCCCAAAGCUGCCCUCUGCAGCUGUGUCUCGUGAGUAUGAUGGAGUUAGCCAGGGGGGUCUUGGAUGGUGUGCAGAUACUGUCACAGGCUCCAGAGCUUGGAGGUUCUGUGAACAGUUUAGUUUAAAAAAAAAAAAAAGGAGGGGGAAUGUUUGUGCUUCAGCUUUCACGUUGCUUUGGGGGAGAAGGCCUCUGUUCCUCUCGUGUGCUGCUCCCAUCCUCCCUGCCCGCCACCUGCUCACCACCUCCUGACUGUGGCCGCUGGCCCGAGGCACAGUCAGCAUGAGCAGAACCUUCAUAAACAGACAAAUCUCUAGAGACUUCCCUAAAACCGUAAUUGUCAACUAGACAGCGAUUCUUGCUCUUUCUGUAUUUUUCGUUGUCAAUCUCUCAGUAUCUCUGCAGAGUUAAGAAAGCUAAUAAGUCAAAAUCGUAUUCUCUUAAGCAGGGCUUAGGUGACCUAUGGCCUGGGAUGCCAUCGAGGGGACCGUGCAGUGGGAAGAGUUGGGUUGGCCGACCUCUUCCAGCACCUUCUGACUCCAGGAAUGGGUCCACUCACUAGUGGGUCACUUUGUCAUCCCUUGGGAAGCGCCUCCAGAGGACCUGCCUCCUCCCAGGCUCUGUCUGUCCCUCUUCCAUGAAAGCCAUGCAGCGGGGGCUCCACUCCCUCUGUGUCCUUCCCGAUGCCACCUGCCCCAAAGCGCAGGAACGGAGCAGAGGCUGGGCCAGGCACCCAAGCCCAGGUCGUUGGGAGGGUGCUGUCCAUGUUGUUCUCCAGAUCUGUAUCUUCUGCCCAUGCCCUUGGUCAUCUUCACUCACUAAUAAUAAUCCUUGGUUUGACCCAGUGUUGAUUUAUCUCCUGUGCACCAUUGUGCCCACAUGGGCUGCGGGCAGGAUCUCCGAGGACGCAGGCCCUUCCCACAACUUCUUCCUGGGCAGUCGAAGAACUUUAAUCAAGGUAGAAGGAGGUUAUUUUGGUCAUGUUCUCAAGUAUACCCUUAGUCAUGUACUUUUGCAAUCGCAUCUCCACCCUGCCCUCUAUUCUCAUCCCAUAGCCUUUCCCAGCCUGAUUUUUUUAGCUGCUUGAUUUAAGUAUCCAAGAAAAGGGUGGGGGGUGGGGGCGGGG